RNAcentral lists this long non-coding RNA (450 nucleotides) under Medicago truncatula (barrel medic). Its description in RNAcentral is "lncRNA gene35615". Lineage: Eukaryota; Viridiplantae; Streptophyta; Magnoliopsida; Fabales; Fabaceae. The record is from RNAcentral.
CUCUCUCUCUCUCUCUCUCUCUCUCUAUCUCUCUCAUGUGUUCGAGCUAACCAGAAGCAAACGUUCAAACAUGGCCGCAAAGCUAAAUGUGCGAAUCACAGGUGAAUUAACACUUCUUUAAUUCCGAAUUCAAUUCCAUCUUCGAUUUUAUUUGAUUUCGUCUUCGAUUCCGUAUACGAAUUCAUCUUUAUGUAUUCAACUUCAUCUUCCAUUUUUUAUUUGAUUUCAUCUUCGAUUAUGUAUUUGUUUUCAUCUUUGGUUUCGCAUCUCCUUGCUUAUUUUUCUUUCAUUUGAUUUUUCACGUUGAAAAAAUGGUUGAGAUGAAGUGUGAGUUUUGUAUUGUGUUGGUUAUUGUUUUGAUUUUGCUUUUAUUGUGCUUCAUGGUAGAAUGCUUGUUUUGUGUUGGUUAUUGUUUUCAGACCACUAUAUCUAAGGGGAAAUCAGUUUCAG